UAGGACUACAAGGGUUUCUAAUCCUGUUUGCUCCCCACGCUUUCGCACCUCAGCGUCAGUACCGGACCAGUGAGCCGCCUUCGCCACUGGUGUUCCUCCGAAUAUCUACGAAUUUCACCUCUACACUCGGAAUUCCACUCACCUCUUCCGGACUCGAGAUUCCCAGUAUCAAAGGCAGUUCCGGGGUUGAGCCCCGGGAUUUCACCCCUGACUUAAAAAUCCGCCUACGUGCGCUUUACGCCCAGUAAUUCCGAACAACGCUAGCCCCCUUCGUAUUACCGCGGCGGCUGGCAC
Molecule: unclassified non-coding RNA, 294 nt
Filed under: uncultured Alphaproteobacteria bacterium
Lineage: Bacteria; Pseudomonadati; Pseudomonadota; Alphaproteobacteria
Description: contains 16S-23S intergenic spacer region
Source: RNAcentral